GCGCCCGUAGCUCAGUUGGAUAGAGUGUUGGUUUCCGAAGCCAAAGGUCACAGGUUCGACUCCUGUCGGGCGCG
Molecule: transfer RNA, 74 nt
Rfam family: tRNA
About the family: Transfer RNA (tRNA) molecules are approximately 80 nucleotides in length.
Source: Rfam